Non-coding RNA from Caenorhabditis elegans, 189 nucleotides. The record is from Ensembl. NCBI's taxonomy places the organism in Eukaryota, Metazoa, Nematoda, Chromadorea, Rhabditida, Rhabditidae.
GGAAUGGAGACGAAGAAGAGGCGGGUCGGGCGCAGUUGUGUCCGACGCUGUGUGCAUUCGGAUCGAUAAUCGCGAGAACACGGGGCGCGCGGCGCCCGCUCGCAUUAAAAACCGCAGUGGCCACUGGGGCAGCAGUCGUUGUUGGACUGCAAAGGGUGGUGAAAUCGAAUAGACUAUUGCGAAAUAUGC